UAUGCACUCUACUGUAAGUCGCUCUGGAUAAGAGCAUAUGCUAAAUGACUAAAA
This is a non-coding RNA of Salmo salar (Atlantic salmon), 54 nucleotides long. NCBI's taxonomy places the organism in Eukaryota, Metazoa, Chordata, Actinopteri, Salmoniformes, Salmonidae. The record is from Rfam.